AUAUAGUGGUGAGUAUCCGCGUCUGUCACAUGCGAGACCCGGGUUCAAUUCCCGG
Molecule: transfer RNA, 55 nt
Filed under: Caenorhabditis briggsae
Lineage: Eukaryota; Metazoa; Nematoda; Chromadorea; Rhabditida; Rhabditidae
Rfam family: tRNA
About the family: Transfer RNA (tRNA) molecules are approximately 80 nucleotides in length.
Source: Rfam by way of RNAcentral